AACGUGCAGAAAUGGAGGGCCCUGGUCUCUAUUAGGAAUUUCAAGAGGGUGAUGGAGCAUUAAACCAAGAGGGGGAGGACCCAGGGCGACCUCUCAGGUGGGAGCGCCAAGCCAGCCCUGCUUAUGCUAAAUGCUUCCCGAGCAUCAUCUUAAAAAGGCCUGGUUACUGGUAAUAAAUCUCCGGGAAGGCAAGGCCCCUGCCUGGGGUCAGCAGAAGUGGCUGCAAAGGCAGGUGCCACACAGUCAGGGGAGUGCCAUUCUGGGGACCCCGCAGCACCUGCCCACGUGCCUCCCUGGGGUCGGAGUUUCCCCACCUUCCUCCCCUUCGCCCUCCCCUCCUCCGCGCGCCUUAAGGAAGGUCGGCCUGGGCUUUAUAAAGUCUUCUAUGCCCCCCUGAAUCUAGUCAGGGGUGCGGCAUGGGGAAGUGACUUACAUUUGGAAUUUUUUAUUGGGCCCCGCGCCCGGCCCUGUGCCGAACAGAAGGCAGAGACCCCUCCCCGCACUCCGACCUUGGGCAUCGGGUCCCUGAGACACCAGUCGCCAGGCAGCCCUCCAUUCAUUCCCCGGCCUCCUGCCCAGGCCACCUCGGCCCGCACAGGAGAGCACCCGGCCGGCCUCUCCCGAGAGCUCGGCACCUUUGCCCCCGCGGGGCGGUCCGCCCGGGGCCCUGGACGCUCACCCUCCGAUGCCCACAAUGUACUUCAUCUCCGCGCGGAGGGGCGGCGGGGACCGCGGUUGGCAGGCCAACUCCCGACUCCCUGGUACCCGGCUGGGCCCGACCCCGCAGUGCGUCCCGGCUUCAUUGAGAAAACCCUGCGCCUUUAUAGGCUGGAGCAGCCCGGAGGCCGCCCCCAGGGAGGCGGCCCACGGCCUUUGGGGAGCGCGGCCGGCGGCGCGAUGAAGUGUUGGGCGGGGAGCGCUGGGGGCGCCGCACCUGUUCCCACUGGAUGGAAAUAGCUCCACGCUGUCUUUUGCCUAAAUUAGUCACGGGUCGGCCGGGCAGGGGGGUGCGGGUGGAAGUCACCCCGCUGCCUCUUCCCCCCUCCUCCCCGCCUGCCCCCUCCUAGCCAGACUGCCCACGGGGCAGAUAACCAGCCACACCUCCUCCCUCCCUAAAAAUAUCCAGCCCGGUGUGUACCCUCGCCUGACCCUGACAUUAAGGCCGGUUCUGGGGGCUGAAAAAAGGAGCUCACCCCCCCUUCCCCGUCUCCAGCGACAGCAGCGGGCCAGUCCCAGAGGUACCACACGACAGGGGACUUCCUUUUCCAAGGGGGUUGAUGCCAAGAUGAACUUAAGCUUUGUUCUCGUGACCCUGGCCGCCAGGAAAUCUCAGCGUGACACCAGUGGCUGUUCAGCGGACGCCCACGUGGGAGCUAGCGUCACUGCGUUUGGCUUCAGGCCUCUCAGCAGCUAGGGGGUGGGGUAGGCAGGGCCCUGCUGAUCCCCGCCUCCUUACUGACCAGAUGGGACCACAUGCCCCACCCCGCCUCCCCACCAGAGGAGACCUUUUGGUUUCAGGACCCCUUUUCCACUCUUGAAAAGGACUGAAGCCCCGGGGAGCUUUUGUUUAAACGGAUUAUCGUCAUGGAUAAUAUUUACCACGUUAUACAUUAAAACUGAGAAAAAUUAAAGGUUUGUUAACUUU
Long non-coding RNA from Phocoena sinus (vaquita), 1645 nucleotides. Lineage: Eukaryota; Metazoa; Chordata; Mammalia; Artiodactyla; Phocoenidae. The record is from Ensembl.